UACGUAGGUGGCAAGCGCUAUCCGGAAUUAUUGGGCGUAAAGCGCGCGCAGGUGGUUUCUUAAGUCUGAUGUGAAAGCCCACGGCUCAACCGUGGAGGGUCAUUGGAAACUGGGAGACUUGAGUGCAGAAGAGGAAAGUGGAAUUCCAUGUGUAGCGGUGAAAUGCGUAGAGAUAUGGAGGAACACCAGUGGCGAAGGCGACUUUCUGGUCUGUAACUGACACUGAGGCGCGAAAGCGUGGGGAGCAAACAGG
This 253-nucleotide ribosomal RNA is filed under the name uncultured bacterium. RNAcentral's name for it is "partial 16S ribosomal RNA". It matches the Rfam family "Bacterial small subunit ribosomal RNA", at positions 524 to 776 of the family's 1533-position model. The record is from RNAcentral.